RNAcentral lists this ribosomal RNA (449 nucleotides) under uncultured bacterium. RNAcentral's name for it is "bacterial SSU rRNA". It matches the Rfam family "Bacterial small subunit ribosomal RNA", at positions 28 to 457 of the family's 1533-position model. The record is from RNAcentral.
GAUGAACGCUGGCGGCGUGCUUAACACAUGCAAGUCGAACGAAGCACUUUAUUUGAUUUCCUUCGGGACUGAUUAUUUUGUGACUGAGUGGCGGACGGGUGAGUAACGCGUGGGUAACCUGCCUUGUACAGGGGGAUAACAGUUGGAAACGGCUGCUAAUACCGCAUAAGCGCACGGCAUCACAUGAUGCAGUGUGAAAAACUCCGGUGGUAUAAGAUGGACCCGCGUUGGAUUAGCUAGUUGGUGAGGUAACGGCCCACCAAGGCGACGAUCCAUAGCCGACCUGAGAGGGUGACCGGCCACAUUGGGACUGAGACACGGCCCAAACUCCUACGGGAGGCAGCAGUGGGGAAUAUUGCACAAUGGGCGAAAGCCUGAUGCAGCGACGCCGCGUGAGCGAAGAAGUAUUUCGGUAUGUAAAGCUCUAUCAGCAGGGAAGAUAAUGACGG